This 253-nucleotide ribosomal RNA is filed under the name uncultured bacterium. RNAcentral describes it as "partial 16S ribosomal RNA". It matches the Rfam family "Bacterial small subunit ribosomal RNA", at positions 524 to 776 of the family's 1533-position model. The record is from RNAcentral.
UACAGAGGUGGCAAGCGUUGUUCGGAAUUACUGGGCGUAAAGGGCGCGUAGGCGGUCAGGUCAGUCCCGUGUGAAAUCCCUCGGCUCAACUGAGGAACUGCACGGGAAACUACCUGGCUUGAGUUCGGGAGAGGGAAGCGGAAUUCCGGGUGUAGCGGUGAAAUGCGUAGAUAUCAGAAGGAACGCCGGCGGCGAAAGCGGCGCACUGGACCCUUUCUGACGCUGAGGCGCGAAAGCCAGGGGAGCAAACGGG